Molecule: transfer RNA, 75 nt
Filed under: Dehalococcoidia bacterium
Lineage: Bacteria; Bacillati; Chloroflexota; Dehalococcoidia
Also listed under: 1 other name
Description: tRNA-Met
Rfam family: tRNA
About the family: Transfer RNA (tRNA) molecules are approximately 80 nucleotides in length. Their secondary structure includes four short double-helical elements and three loops (D, anti-codon, and T loops).
Source: RNAcentral
CGCGGGGUGGAGCAGUGGUAGCUCGUUGGGCUCAUAACCCAAAGGUCGUCGGUUCGAAUCCGACCCCCGCUACCA